RNAcentral lists this ribosomal RNA (158 nucleotides) under Pyricularia oryzae. RNAcentral's name for it is "5.8S ribosomal RNA". The stretch from base 3 to 126 matches the Rfam family "5.8S ribosomal RNA", at positions 26 to 154 of the family's 154-position model. Rfam says of the family: 5.8S ribosomal RNA (5.8S rRNA) is a component of the large subunit of the eukaryotic ribosome. The record is from RNAcentral. Lineage: Eukaryota; Fungi; Ascomycota; Sordariomycetes; Magnaporthales; Pyriculariaceae.
UGUCUGGCAUCGAUGAGACGCAGCGAUGCGAUAAGUAAUGUGAAUUGCAGAAUUCAGUGAAUCAUCGAAUCUUUGAACGCACAUUGCGCCCGCCGGUAUUCCGGCGGCAUGCCUGUUCGAGCGUCAUUUACACCCUCAAGCCUCGCUUGGUUGUUGGG